Molecule: transfer RNA, 77 nt
Filed under: Daphnia pulex (common water flea)
Lineage: Eukaryota; Metazoa; Arthropoda; Branchiopoda; Diplostraca; Daphniidae
Rfam family: tRNA
About the family: Transfer RNA (tRNA) molecules are approximately 80 nucleotides in length. Their secondary structure includes four short double-helical elements and three loops (D, anti-codon, and T loops). Further hydrogen bonds mediate the characteristic L-shaped molecular structure. tRNAs have two regions of fundamental functional importance: the anti-codon, which is responsible for specific mRNA codon recognition, and the 3' end, to which the tRNAs corresponding amino acid is attached (by aminoacyl-tRNA synthetases). tRNAs cope with the degeneracy of the genetic code in two manners: having more than one tRNA (with a specific anti-codon) for a particular amino acid; and 'wobble' base-pairing, i.e. permitting non-standard base-pairing at the 3rd anti-codon position.
Source: Rfam by way of RNAcentral
GGGGGUAUAGCUCAGUGGUAGAGCAGAGCAUUCGACUGGAGAUCGAAAUGUCCCCAGUUCAAAUCUGGGUGCCCCCU